Apis mellifera (honey bee) is the source of this 46-nucleotide non-coding RNA. The record is from Rfam. Lineage: Eukaryota; Metazoa; Arthropoda; Insecta; Hymenoptera; Apidae.
ACACAGGAUUUAUUAAAAUCCUUAAAUUGUAAAAACGAAGGAAACU